UCAGGUGAAAUGCAGUGACCAGGGGAGAGCUCUUCCCAUUCUCUAACCAUGUCCAGGAAUGCAAAGUCACUUAGGCUCAGAUUCAACAUCUUGCCCUGCCUGCUGUAAUUACAGCGUUUGAGCCCAUCUCGUGCUGAGAGCUGCAAGGAACAGAAGAGCUUGGGUGAGGUGUCCUAACUCAGAAUUAGGUAACUCUCAGGAUGAAGGCUCAAGGGGGAGGAAAGCUGGGACUAUGCAGAAUGUGCAGGAUAGGAGGGAGAUGUGACCCAAACUCUGGGGAUGAGUUGCCAGAGACAGAAUCACAGAGAAAAAAUCCUUAUGCUCUUUCACCAAGGAUCUGCUACUUGUUGCUGUCACAUACAAAAUAGCAGCUAGGUGCCCAUAGCUUGCUAUAAGAACCAUCAACACAGGGGACUAAGUUGACGGACUCCAGCUUGCAAAUCCUGUGCCCUGCCAGAAGAGAGCUGAAACAGAUACAAGUCUGGCUGCUACCAGAAGGUUUGAACCCUGAUCUCUCUCUAUUUUUUGGAGUCACUGAAUUUGAAGCCAAGAUCCAAACACUGCUCAAGCACUUGACAUUCAGAAGGGAGAAAUAUUCACAUUGAUGUGAUUUGAAAUGACAGCAAUUUAGAGUAGAGACUACAGUUGAUGAGAGAGUGAAGAUCCAGAUUUCACAGAAGGAAAAGAGAACACCUAGUUACAAACUGUGGAUUGCAUUCAGCGGAGAAGACCUUGCUCUCACACAACCCUGGAUAGCCUUGGACUGAGUUGCUUAAGGACUUCUGUUAAACACUUUGCUUUCCAAAGACCUUAAAACACGGUGUGCUACUGAGGGUUUUUCAGUCCCAGGAGGAGUGACCAAAAUAUAAAAUAUACUACACCUAUUAAGUGUCAAGAUACCAGCCUGAUGGUACACCAGCCUUGGAGAAGAAAACCCAGGGGACAGAAGCCCAGGCCUGUCUCAUGCUUCAUCUCAGGCACUCCUGUUAACACUGGUUCUUGCUAGCAGGGUUCCUGCUUAACACUGGAGUGGGUUGUCUGGAGAGGCGUGGAGUCUCUGUCUUUGGAGACAUUCAAGGACUGACCAUAGUCCUGAGCAGCCUGCUGUACCUGAUCCUGCUCUGACUGGGGUUGGAGUAGAUGAUUUCCAGAGGUGCCUGCUAGCCUCAGCUAUUCAGCAAGCGCAUUGCAGAGGCAGCAUUUGCUAAGGAGGAGCAUCACAAAUGUGAGAACAGUUGGGCCUCACUCCAGGGUCUCAGUGUGCCUCAUGCUCUCUCAGUGGAUGUCCUCUGUAAGGGCCUGAAGCACAGACAGCUGCAUGGCUUUCCCAAGUAAGAAGCAAGAGGCAUUGUGUGGAAGGGCAGAGAGCUGGACCUGCAUUUCUAGAAGACCAGACCAUCAGGGCUCCCUCCUCCUGGCUGUCCCUGGCUGCUUUGCAUGGACUGAUGUCCUCCUCUCAGUACUGGAGCAUUAUAAUUCACAGACUUUGCUUGCUGCCAAACCUCUGCUGCCCUGAAAGGCUGUUUGUACCCAGUAGAACUGAGGAGAAAUCACUCUACUACAAGUACAUUAAGCACAUGAACAGCUCUGACAAGAGGUAGAGCAAUAAUUUGUUUGGUAAGCUGGCUUAUGCUUUAUUGAAUUCAUUUACUGGCUGUCCAACAGCUCCAUCAGGCGCUUUUGCAGCAGCCAGACAUAAAGACAUGACCUCCAGUCUAGAGUCAAGUCCAAAGGUCCCCCCCACUUCUUUUCUACAGUGGUAAAAUUAAAAUCUCCUCAAGCAAGCAGAGGUGUCCUGACACAGUCACUUACAGUAUGUGCUGUGCAAACUAAACAUUAGCAUCAUUUCAGCAGAAGCAGCUUGGUGCAGCUGUGCCAAGCUUUAGCAGGUUAAUAUGCUUUGGACAUGUCUAAAGUGCUUAACAGUUUGAUGUGGCAAGGGCAGAAAAUACAAUUUUAAUCAAAUCUGAGCAUUGUUCUCUCUCCAGGUAUAAAAGCUUCAUGAAUGCAACAACCUGUAAUACCUCACAUUCAUUUUUUUUCAUGCAGGUUGAAUACAAAUUGUAGCAUGUCUUUAGCUACACUGAUGUGGUAAUAGAGACAGAUUGCAAAUUUACCAGUGAAAUACUGAAGAGGACAUUUUGUCUUAAUGACUUUGCAAAGUGGGAGAAACAAGUCAUCAGAAGUCUACUUUUCUAAAGGGAAGCCUGAGAAAAGCAAUUCAAUAUGGGCCACACAUGUAUAAAGCAAUUAUGGUAAAUAAGCCAUAAUACAGAGAAAUGUUAAUCUAUUUUGUGAGAGAUAAGGCAAAGGUUGGCUGGCUUCUACGGGCUCAGCAUUGCAUUGCAACCUACACACUCAAAAUGUAUUGUACAUAAUAAAUGGAGUGGGAAUAGCUGAUGAAUAUCACAAAACGGAGACACGGAGAGCUUUGCUGCACCACUGGAUAAUGUUUGGGUAUUUGCUAGUGACAGAUGGUAGGCUUUUUCAUCCGUAUCUGUGUGCCCUGGAUGGAGGAUUGUUUGAUGACACAUGAACAGUUACUGUCACUCUCUUCUUUGUCAUCUUGUAGCAUUCUUACAGCUUUGAGGGCCUUAUGUGUUUAAUCAUUUAUGCAGGGAUUUUAUGAGGCAGGUGCUUAAGAGUGUGGUAGGAGGGAAGAUAAAACAAAUGAAUUAAAGUCAGUUCCAGUUACUCUUAAUCCCAGCAAAGGCACAGACUGACAUCACUUAACUGCUCCUAAAUGGCCUGGGUCUUGUAUUACUGUUGGAGCUGACGACACUUGUGGUGUUAACUGAUAGCAUGCAGAGGCCAAAUGAAGGAACACACCAACAUAAA
Molecule: long non-coding RNA, 2838 nt
Organism: Oxyura jamaicensis (ruddy duck)
Lineage: Eukaryota; Metazoa; Chordata; Aves; Anseriformes; Anatidae
Exons: 7
Source: RefSeq, a predicted model, not a curated record